Non-coding RNA from Bradyrhizobium sp. NAS80.1, 82 nucleotides. The record is from Rfam. NCBI's taxonomy places the organism in Bacteria, Pseudomonadati, Pseudomonadota, Alphaproteobacteria, Hyphomicrobiales, Nitrobacteraceae.
GCGCUCGUGGCGGAACUGGUAGACGCGCUGCCUUGAGGUGGCAGUGGGUAACACCGUGGGGGUUCGAGUCCCUCCGAGCGCA